AUGCACCCGUUCGAGCUCGACGGCCAGCCGUGCUUCCCGGUGCACGCCACCGGCUAUCAGAGGGGCGUCCACUUUUGGGUCAUGUCGCCCCCGCCGGAGGACGACAAACAGCCGCAGUGGGAUCUGCGCUGUAGCUUUGAGAUCAAUCGGCUCGCUAGCCACUUCGGUCCUUCGAGCGCCUGGGUUGACGAUGGCGAGAUGCUCUGCUACAUGCUGGGUGGCACCUUGUACAUGUAUGGCAUGAAAGCACAUUCACCGCCGACUUCCAACCAUGCUCGAUGGUUGGAGUGGGACCAACGGAUCAGUCUCAAAGAGAUUCCCUUAUGGCGGGAACCUUCGGUAUGCCGGUGGAACAUCUACGGGGGUUACCGUCCCACCCUGCUCUCGCCUCUCGUCUUUACGUUGCCGCCUUCAAGAUGA
This 420-nucleotide ribosomal RNA is filed under the name Triticum aestivum (bread wheat). Its description in RNAcentral is "partial small subunit ribosomal RNA". The record is from RNAcentral. Lineage: Eukaryota; Viridiplantae; Streptophyta; Magnoliopsida; Poales; Poaceae.